This 497-nucleotide ribosomal RNA is filed under the name uncultured bacterium. Its description in RNAcentral is "partial 16S ribosomal RNA". It matches the Rfam family "Bacterial small subunit ribosomal RNA", at positions 36 to 507 of the family's 1533-position model. The record is from RNAcentral.
UCUUCCCUCUGGCGGCGUGCCUAAUACAUGCAAGUCGAGCGAACGGACGAGAAGAUUGCUUCUCUGAUGUUAGCGGCGGACGGGUGAGUAACACGUGGAUAACCUACCUAUCAUACUGGGAUAACUUCGGGAAACCGGCGCUAAUACCGGAUAAUCUUUUGCACCGCAUGGUUCAAAAGUGAAUGACGGUCUUGCUGUCACUUAUAGAUGGAUCCGCGCUGCAUUGGCUAGUUGGUAAGGUAACGGCUUACCAAGGCAACGAUGCAUAGCCGACCUGAGAGGGGGAUCGGCCACACUGGAACUGAGACACGGUCCAGACUCCUACGAGAGGCAGCAGUAGGGAAUCUUCCGCAAUGGGCGAAAGCCUGACGUAGCAACGCCGCGUGAGUGAUGAAGGUCUUCGGAUCGUAAAACUCUGUUAUUAGGGAAGAACAGAUGUGUAAGUAACUGUGGACAUCUUGACGGUACCUAAUCAGAAAGCCACGGCUAACUACGUG